Molecule: long non-coding RNA, 4962 nt
Organism: Anguilla anguilla (European eel)
Lineage: Eukaryota; Metazoa; Chordata; Actinopteri; Anguilliformes; Anguillidae
Exons: 3
Source: RefSeq, a predicted model, not a curated record
UAAUGGAUUCCCCCGUUGUGGGCGGAAGUUCUUCUCCGUGCUAGUUCGCCCUCAUUCUGUUUCUGGACUUUGGGAGAGAAGGUGCGCAUUCCUCUGCUCUGUUAUUUUUAUUUUUAUUACCACGUAAAUUGUAUUUCUUUCUUAACAUCGUUGGUAUUGACAUUCGCUGCAACUCGUGUAUGUUUUGUGUUGCAAUUUUCACGCACUGUGUGUUUAUUUUCAUGGAUUAAACCUGUAGAAAAUAUCAACGGUAUUAGCCGCACCAGCAAGCGCCCAGUCGAUCUGUAGGUGAAGAUGCACUGUUCAUGAGAUUUCUACCUCUGUCAUGUAUUGAAAGUGGUGGUGUUGGUGGUUGGUAUGUGCGGUGGAGCACAUGUAUGGGAGCGAGACCUGUAUUGCUCACCAUUGUCUUUUUGAUAUUUGAAGGCAGCUGAGAUCAAAGAAAAAAUGUCCGACUCCCGCAAGCUUGCCGUUUUGGCUGCCCUCUUCGUCAUCUUUGGAUGCGUGGCCUCAGCCAAAUGUGAGUAUUCAUAUUUAUUUCAAUUGAUUGAAGUACCACUCCUUCUAUCACCUGAAUCAAACAUGCAGUUAAGUUUCAAAUAAUUUAUUUAAAUGCAUUUAAAAUGCAUCAUUCUUACAAGAAUAUAUUUGAUUUAGAGACAUAAAACAUCGAUAUAUCAUUCUGUGCAUAUACAGAAUAUUAUUCGUGAUUUUUAUUGUACUCGUUACGGGAGUGCUUUUAUAUCUAACUGUAAGGGCGAUGGACCUGUAAAUGCAAGACAUGCUUUCUGUAGUCAGCCUGGAAGAGUGCUUCUUCCAUAUGUCCAUUCAGUUCAUACCUUGUUCAGCUUUACAGUACACAGACAAAGUGUUUAAUUUAAUUUCCCAAGCAUCUUUCCGCGCAUGCCGAUCGUGGCUGUCGUGACGAUCACCAGCUGGCUGACGUGUCAUCUCAUUCAACUCUUCUUUUAGAACAGAAAUCCUACCGGGUUUUGGAAAGCCUUUCCUGCAAUGGAGGGAAUUAAUAUUGAUACUGAAUUCACAGCACAAAGUGGGGGUCAUAUACAAGUCCCUCUCAAGUGUUUCAUUUGACUUUUCAGUUGUUUCAUUUUCACACAUUUGGAGAGGCAGGCCAACACUGUUGACUCACUGAAAAAGAUUUAACAGGGUUCAGAGGGUAUAAAAUCCCACUGCACAAUCAGUGCAGGUUCUUGUACCAAAGAACAGUUGUAGAUAAUGAGAGCCAGAACAAGCUUACAUUAUUAAGCCAAAAUAACUAAGAAAUACUUUUUUCCAUGGAUAUUCAUUCAUGCUUUAUAUUAAAUUGGCUAUUAGGAUUAUAUAUAUUACAUAUAAUUAUUACAUAGGUUUUCAUUAACUAUGCACACUCACACCUAAUGCUGGCUUCACCAAAUAGUCAAGUUUUUUCUUCCUAUCAGUGUGGGCAUGUUUUGCCCUUGCCCUGUGGUUUUAUGGCAAUAUGGGUAGUGUGAUGGGAGAUGGGUGAGUGCCUAUUGCUACUUUUGUACUGAUAAGGGAAAUGUGUUCAGCUCAAAACAUCUUUUGCCUAUAUGUUCAUCCAUCCUUCCAGUACCUUUUAAACAGGAAGGGCUUUUGGGGAUUUGCAAUAAGGCUUAUUCCACUUGUGUGUGGCAUUGCUGCAUAGCUGACCAACUGUAAGUAUCAUGCCUAGCAAUCAUGUACAGCAGGACUAUAAAUAGUAAAACACAGGAUUCCUUUUUAAAACAGAUAUUCUGCUUCUUAUAUCCUGGACAGUUUGAAUGUGUUUGUGGAAAUAUGUGAGGGUACGGUGUGUGUGUGUGUACAUGUGGAGGAGUGGCCUUUUAAUCUGACAUAUCCAGGCAAUACAAUGUGCAUCUUACUACACUGUUAAAAUAUCAAACCACAGACUGUAAUGUUUAAACUCUUUAAUUGGUUUCAGCCGCCCCAUGGUUCUGUGUUGUUUAGAUGGUUUUCAGAUAAGAUAGUUUCUGGUACUGUAUAUAAAACAGAAUCAGGGGACUGGCUUUCUGGACCCCUUGCUGGAAUUUAAAAACUUUUCAAUUCAAAGCCACUGAUAUUGACUCUCUGAUCUGUUUUCAGAUCGUAUACUGACUAAGGUCACCACCCAGUGCUGCGAGUCAGUGAGUUCCAAGAUUCCGAAAAAAAUCCGCGAUGAGAUUAUCAGCUACACACACCAGAACGCCUUGGAUCCUUGUGUGGAUGCCGUCAUGUGAGCUCUUAUUAUUUAUUUGCUUCUUAAUUGUCCUUAUCCACAGUUAUAUUUUAUAUUUCAUGCACCUCAAAAAUGGCACACCCACGAUCAUGCUAAAAAUGGAUGACCGGGUCUUGAGUGAGGCAGCAGUGUGGUACACUGCCUGGCCAAAAAAAAAGUCGCCAUUUGGAUUUUUUGUUUGGACAGUGCCCACUGUACAAGCCUCUGGAGGCAGUGUUAUGAUCUGGGCCCAGGAGUUCAAAACUUUUUAUCUCAAUCAGAUCCGAUCAGAUUUUGAAAUCCCAUAUUUUGUGAUCCAGGUUCAGACAACUCAGCCACAUUUUGUCCUGGUAUUUCAAAGCAAUUCAGGAUAGGAUCACCCUGAUCCAGAUUCAGACUUUUCAAGAUUACCAGAUCCUGAUUAUCAGGAUCAUUAAUGUAGUAUACAAUUCAUUUCAAAAUACAUUUCAAUAUAAAAAAGAUGGUAGAGUUUGGGAUUCAGUUAUCCCAUCAAUGGAUUUUUUCUUCCCUGACGGCACGGGCAUAUUCCAGGACAAGAAUGCUAAGAUUCAUCGGGCUCAAAUUGUGAGAGAGUGGUUCUGGGAGCAUGAGGAAUCAUUUUCACAUGAAUUGGCCAGCACAGAGUCCUGAUUUUAACCCCAUUGAAAGUCUUUGGGAUGUGACUUUUUACGGAGUGGUUUGACUGCCCCGUCGUCAAUACAAGAUCUCGGCCAAAAAUUUAUGCAAUUCUGGAUGGAAAUAUAUGUUGUGACGUUGCAUAAGGUUGUUGAAACAAUGCCACAACGAAUGCGUGGUGCAAUCAAAGCUAAAGGCGGUCCAACAAAAUAUUAGUGUGCAACUUUUUUUUUGGCCAGGCAGUGUAUAAUAGGUAAGGAGUUGGUUUUGUAACCUGUCACAGGUUCGAUUCCCCGGUCAGUCACUGCCGUUGUACUCUUGAGCAAGGUACUUAACCUGCAUUGCUUCAGCAUAUAUUCUGCUGAAAAAGAGUGUCUGCGAAAUCCCUCUAAUGUAAUGUAAUGUCUUCUUAAAUCUAUUUCAUUGAAAGCAGGAAUGGUAGUUGUGAAUAAAAAAAAGUAUAACAUAUUUUUUACAUAUUUAUGCAUUACGUAUUCACUGCUUAUUCUUGCAAAUUACUGAAUUUCACCUUGUUUCUCAUUAAUUUGUUACUGGCUGCCCUGUACCGAUUCACACAUAUAGUUAAUUGUUAGUUAUUGUACUGUGAUGCAUGUACAAUGAAUAUACCAUGAUAUUGUAAGUCCUUUUGACUAAGUGUGCCUGGUAAUUUAAAUGUCAUAUUUAAAUAAUCAUAUAUUUUAAUAUUAUAAGCUCCCAAACUUUGAGUUUGCCAUUGCCAACCAAUCCAAUCCCUAACGUUUUUACCCUUUAGUCCUUGGGGAAUAUUUAGGAAUAUAAAGUCAUGUCAAUUAAUAACUUUAAUAAUAAUAAUUUUUAUAAAAACCAUGCCAUAAAAACAGUGUCCUAAAAUAUUUGUGCCCCAUGCUGGAAAAAUGUGCAAACAAUGACUUACUCUAAACAUGCAUAUAUAUUUAGAAUUACUGUUGAAUUUAGUUGUUUGACAUCUGCUUUCACCUCUCCAGAUUUCAAACAGAGAACAAUGGCAAAGUUUGCACUGACCCCAAAGCACGCUGGGUACCAAAGAAACUAAAAGAAUUGCAGAAACAAUCGUGAGGACAAUGUGGAAAUGGGCUUUGGAAUGGAUUCAAGGUUUUCUUCCAGGCAAUUUCUUUUCCCUGAUUAUUACUGUAUCUUACUUUAGCCCUGACUAUUAGCCUAGUUAAGUUUAAGAAAAAACUAAAUUCUAUAUUUGUUUUUCUUAGAUUUUUCUGAUUAUGCUGUAUGUCAGUAUGUGCUUAUACAGUACACUAUACUGUAUUUGCUUACUGUAUUUCUUUACUAGCAUCUGUGAAGCAAAACCCAAGUUUUUUAGUUUUUCAAUCAACAAAAUGUGCCUGUUGAUUCCAUUUUGAUCCUAAGUACUUUCUUGUUCACAUCCUUGGAACUAGCUUUAUGUUGGGACUUUGCAAACAUAACAUUUAACCGGAGCAAGCUAAAGACUUAAUGACAGCCCAACUGAAAUCCUGUGCAGGCUUUGUGUGAUUAACAGGCUUGCCAGGUUUUGUAAGCAUCACCUCACUGAAGCUGAUUUCUUUUUGCAUAUUUAAGCAUCUUCCAUGUGUGCGUUCAGCUGCAUGUUCUUUACAAGUCAUUUUUAUUUACUCGUCAACAUUUUUAUCCUGAACAUAGAUAAAUAUAAUUUCUCAAUGCGCUGUUUGAUCUGUUAGUAUAUCACUUUUGGUUUCAGCAACUGAAGCACUUUGUCUAGAUCUUAAACUCCCAAUAUAAAGUUUCUUGUGGUACUUUAGGUCAGUAGUUCUGAACCUCAGUCCAGGGGUCCCCCUGUGUAUGCUGGUUUUUGUUCUGACCAUAGUUGCAAUCUUAGAAUUUUAACAAGCAGUUUAUUUUUCUUAAUUAGAUGCUUUUCAUUUUUGCAGGAAUUGUUUAUCCUCUUGAGCCACAUUGUCAUAAAUAGCUGUGCAUGCCAUGUUGAAUAAACCUCUCAUGUUCAAAUUGUGCUUGUUGUGUUAUAUUGCAAACAAUUUGAUAAAAAGGAUAACAAAAAGGUAACAAAAUUAGGUUGUUUAACACGUGUUUAGGUUAUUUCAUAAUUUCUUUAAUACAUUAUACCUUAAACUUUUUAGCACAAA